Molecule: ribosomal RNA, 430 nt
Filed under: Pseudomonadota bacterium
Lineage: Bacteria; Pseudomonadati; Pseudomonadota
Description: Proteobacteria bacterium partial 16S ribosomal RNA
Rfam family: Bacterial small subunit ribosomal RNA
Source: RNAcentral
UGAGGAAUAUUGGACAAUGGGGGGAACCCUGAUCCAGCCAUGCCGCGUGUGUGAAGAAGGCCUUAUGGUUGUAAAGCACUUUAAGCGAGGAGGAGGGUACUGGUAUUAAUACUACCAGGUACUGGACGUUACUCGCAGAAUAAGCACCGGCUAACUCUGUGCCAGCAGCCGCGGUAAUACAGAGGGUGCGAGCGUUAAUCGGAUUUACUGGGCGUAAAGCGUGCGUAGGCGGCUGAUUAAGUCGGAUGUGAAAUCCCUGAGCUUAACUUAGGAAUUGCAUUCGAUACUGGUCAGCUAGAGUGUGGGAGAGGAUGGUAGAAUUCCAGGUGUAGCGGUGAAAUGCGUAGAGAUCUGGAGGAAUACCGAUGGCGAAGGCAGCCAUCUGGCCUAACACUGACGCUGAGGUACGAAAGCAUGGGGAGCAAACAGG